This 241-nucleotide unclassified non-coding RNA is filed under the name Hevea brasiliensis (rubber tree). Lineage: Eukaryota; Viridiplantae; Streptophyta; Magnoliopsida; Malpighiales; Euphorbiaceae. The record is from RNAcentral.
AAAUGUGAUGGCAUACCUUUUGAGUGUAGCAAUGUGACAAUGUAUUAUUAUAAAUUUAUAGCUUAUGAUAGUUAAAUCUAUUAUGUCCUGUGAUCAUGUGGCUUCUUUUGUGUUUCAAUUCGUACUGCACUGGCUAUGGUGCCGCAGUCGAAUGUUUUGAUGUUAGGAAUUUCAUUUAUUUCUUCUUUUGUAGCCAUCUUGAUGCCUAGAAAAGGAGCACCAUAUUUUACUCUUUAUCAGA